AUUGAACGCUGGCGGCAUGCCUUACACAUGCAAGUCGAACGGCAGCACGGGAGCUUGCUCCUGGUGGCGAGUGGCGAACGGGUGAGUAAUACAUCGGAACGUACCCUGAAGUGGGGGAUAACGUAGCGAAAGUUACGCUAAUACCGCAUAUUCUGUGAGCAGGAAAGAGGGGGAUCGCAAGACCUCUUGCUUUAGGAGCGGCCGAUGUCGGAUUAGCUAGUUGGUGAGGUAAAGGCUCACCAAGGCGACGAUCCGUAGCGGGUCUGAGAGGAUGAUCCGCCACACUGGGACUGAGACACGGCCCAGACUCCUACGGGAGGCAGCAGUGGGGAAUUUUGGACAAUGGGCGCAAGCCUGAUCCAGCCAUGCCGCGUGAGUGAAGAAGGCCUCGGUU
This 394-nucleotide ribosomal RNA is filed under the name uncultured bacterium. Its description in RNAcentral is "bacterial SSU rRNA". It matches the Rfam family "Bacterial small subunit ribosomal RNA", at positions 30 to 424 of the family's 1533-position model. The record is from RNAcentral.